This 468-nucleotide ribosomal RNA is filed under the name uncultured bacterium. RNAcentral describes it as "partial 16S ribosomal RNA". It matches the Rfam family "Bacterial small subunit ribosomal RNA", at positions 28 to 507 of the family's 1533-position model. The record is from RNAcentral.
GACGAACGCUGGCGGCGUGCUUAACACAUGCAAGUCGAACGGAAAGGCACUGCUUUUGUGCGGUGCUCGAGUGGCGAACGGGUGCGUAACACGUGAGUAACCUGCCCUUGACUUUGGUAUAACUUCAGGAAACUGGGGCUAAUACCGGACAGGAGCUCCUGCUGCAUUGUGGGCGUUGGAAAUUUUCGGCGGUUGGGGUUGGACUCGCGGCUUACCAGCUUGUUGGUGGGGUAGUGGCUUACCAAGGCUUUGACGGGUAGCCGGCCUGAGAGGGUGACCGGCCACAUUGGGACUGCGGUACGGCCCAGACUCCUACGGGAGGCAGCAGUGGGGAAUAUUGCACAAUGGGCGGAAGCCUGAUGCAGCAACGCCGCGGGCGGGAUGACGGCCUUCGGGUUGUAAACCGCUUUCGCCUGUGACGAAGCGUGAGUGACGGUAAUGGGUGAAGAAGCACCGGCUAACUACGUG